This 214-nucleotide ribosomal RNA is filed under the name uncultured bacterium. RNAcentral describes it as "partial 16S ribosomal RNA". It matches the Rfam family "Bacterial small subunit ribosomal RNA", at positions 143 to 353 of the family's 1533-position model. The record is from RNAcentral.
ACGACAGUUGGAAACGACUGCUAAUACCGCAUAAGACCACAGUACCGCAUGGUACAGUGAUCAAAGGAUUUAUUCGCUGAAGGAUGGCUUCGCGUCCGAUUAGGUAGUUGGUGAGGUAACGGCUCACCAAGGCGACGAUCAGUAGCCGGCUUGAGGGAGUGAACGGCCACAUUGGGACUGAGACACGGCCCAAACUCCUACGGGAGGCAGCAUG